This 294-nucleotide signal recognition particle RNA is filed under the name Callithrix jacchus (white-tufted-ear marmoset). RNAcentral describes it as "Metazoan signal recognition particle RNA (ENSCJAG00000043619.3)". It matches the Rfam family "Metazoan signal recognition particle RNA". From Rfam's summary of the family: The signal recognition particle (SRP) is a universally conserved ribonucleoprotein. It is involved in the co-translational targeting of proteins to membranes. The record is from Rfam by way of RNAcentral. Lineage: Eukaryota; Metazoa; Chordata; Mammalia; Primates; Cebidae.
GCCUGGUGCAGUGUUCUAUGCCUGUAGUCCCAGCUAUACUAUUUGGGAGGUUGAGGUAGGAGGUUUGCUUGAGACCAGGAGUUCUGGGCUGUAGUGCUCUAUGCUGAUUGGGUGUCCACAAUAAGUUUGAUAUCAAUAUGGUGACCUCCAGGGAGUGAAGGGCCACCAGAUUUCCUAAGGAGGGAUAAACUGGUCCAGGUUGAACAUGCAACAGGUCAAAACUUGAUAGUGGGAUUGCACCUGUGAAUAUCCACUGCACUACACCCUGGACGGGAUAGCCAGACCCUGUCUCUA